Molecule: unclassified non-coding RNA, 651 nt
Filed under: Hevea brasiliensis (rubber tree)
Lineage: Eukaryota; Viridiplantae; Streptophyta; Magnoliopsida; Malpighiales; Euphorbiaceae
Source: RNAcentral
AAAGGUUUUGGAGAUGUAAUUCCGAAUAGGACUUAUAAAGGUUGCUCAACAUAUGAGCUUCCUAAGAUCUAUUACAAGGAAGAUACAGGGUUUGUAGGUUUUAGGUAAGGCAGAGGUAGGGCAAGGAUGAAUCGACCUUCCUUCCUUCGAAGCCUCGGGUGAGCUUUUUUCAAAGUCUUUUUCGAAGUUUCUCGAAUUUGGGAGAAAUGAAAGAAGCAGCUUGAAACUUGUGUUUAAGAAGCUUGAGUUUGCCUUGGGUAGGUGCCUCCUUAUAUAGAAGUGAUCAGGGGCAGUUUUAUAAUUUUUUAAAAUCUUGAACAGUAUCUGCCAUUUACUUUUUCACGUGCGAACAGUACUUGAACAGUUCUUCCUGUCAAGUGAACAGUGCUUGAACAGUGCUUCCUGUUGUCUUCACAUGCAAACAGUAAAAGUGAAUAGUGAUAGGUGAACAGUACCCUAUCAGAUUUUUUUUAAGAAAGAAAAGUAAAAAAUGCAAAAUUACAAAAAAUAAAAGCAGAAAAAGUAAAAUGGAUAAUUUUACCGUUAUAAAUUUCUUUUGCCUGUCUUAAAUCUUUUUUUUUUUUAAUAGUGUAGCUGAGAGAAAAAAGGUAGGAGUGGGGCCAAGUAAAGAUAAGUUGAGGGAAGGGAGAU